AUUCCAAUCGAACUCGGAGAUAGCUGGUUCUCCUCGAAAUAGCUUUAGGGCUAGCCUUGAGGUAAAACAUGUGGGGGUAGAGCACUGAAUGAUUUAGGGGCCAAACCAGGUUACCGACAUCUAUCAAACUGCGAAUACCAUGUGGAAGUACUCAGGAGUCAGACUGCGGGAGCUAAGUUCCGUGGUCAAAAGGGAAAGAGCCCAGACCGACAAUUAAGGUCCCAAAGAGAUAGUUAAGUGGAAAACGAUGUGAAAAUGCAAAGACAACCAGGAUGUUGGCUUAGAAGCAGCCAUACAUUAAAAGAGUGCGUAACAGCUCACUGGUCGAGUGAAUUUGCGCGGAAAAUUACCGGGGCUAAACUAUCCACCGAAAUUACGGAUUGCAGUACAUUUAACAAUGUAUGCGGAAAGAAGAAAGAAGUAUAUAUUGUUAAGUGUACUGUAGUGGUAGAGGAGCAUUCUGUAGUAGGAAGAAGCUAAAGCGAGAGCAUUAGUGGACGAGACAGAAGAGAGAAUGCUGGAAUAAGUAGCGAGAGCAAGGUGAGAAUCCUUGCCGUCGAAAGUCUAAGGUUUCCUGGGGAAGGUUCGUCCGCCCAGGGUAAGUCGGGACCUAAGGAGAGGCCGAGAAGGCGUAUCUGAUGGACAGCAGGUUGAAAUUCCUGCACUACCGAUACUUUAAAAAACGUCAAGGGACGCAGGAGAGGAAGGAAAGCGAGGAAGAGGAAAGACUCGUAUCGAAAGAUAUAGUGAAAAAAUGAAGUAACGAAAUUCCAAGAAUCACACUGACGAGAAAAGCUUGAUGACAUUAAGUAAAGGUACCCGUACCGCAAACCGACACAGGUAGAUGAGGAGAGGAUCCUAAGACGAACGGGAGAAGCAUUGUUAAGGAACUCGGCAAAAUGACCCCGUAACUUCGGGAGAAGGGGUGCCACAGAGAUGUGGCCGCAGAGAAUAGGCUCAAGCAACUGUUUAGCAAAAACACAGGUCUAUGCGAAACCGAAAGGUGAGGUAUAUGGGCUGACGCCUGCCCGGUGCUGGAAGGUUAAGAGGAGAGGUUAGCGCAAGCGAAGCUUUGAAUUUAAGCCCCAGUAAACGGCGGCCGUAACUAUAACGGUCCUAAGGUAGCGAAAUUCCUUGUCAGGUAAGUUCUGACCCGCACGAAAGGCGUAAUGAUUUGGGCGCUGUCUCGACAAUGUACCCGGCGAAAUUGUAGUACUAGUGAAGAUGCUAGUUACCUGCGACAAGACAGAAAGACCCCAUGGAGCUUUACUGUAGUUUGAUAUUGGGUUUUGGUAAUUUAUGUACAGGAUAGGUGGGAGACAGAGAAGGAUGUGCGUCAGCAUAUCUGGAGUCAACGUUGGGAUACCACUCUUAAGUUAUUGAAAUUCUAACUUGUGAUCAUAAACUGGUCAGAGGACAAUGUCAGACGGGCAGUUUGACUGGGGCGGUCGCCUCCAAAAGAGUAACGGAGGCGCCCAAAGGUUCCCUCAGUGCGGACAGAAAUCGCACAAAAGAGUGUAAAGGCAGAAGGGAGCUUAACUGGAAGAUAGACAUAUCGAGCAGAUACGAAAGUAGGGCUUAGUGAUCCGGUGGAAUUGAAUGGAAAAGCCAUCGCUCAACGGACAAAAGUUACCCUGGGGAUAACAGGCUUAUCUCCCCCAAGAGUUCACAUCGACGGGGAGGUU
RNAcentral lists this ribosomal RNA (1685 nucleotides) under human gut metagenome. RNAcentral describes it as "bacterial LSU rRNA". It matches the Rfam family "Bacterial large subunit ribosomal RNA", at positions 826 to 2518 of the family's 2925-position model. The record is from RNAcentral.